CCUAUGGAGUGUUAUAACAAACGAAAGUAGCUUCGGCAAAAUCGGACACUAUGAAGUAGGAA
The sequence is a small RNA, 62 nucleotides long. It matches the Rfam family "RAGATH-18 RNA". Rfam says of the family: Actinobacteria, Firmicutes, Fusobacteria, Thermotogae (1 example). Nearby to self-cleaving ribozyme genes The record is from Rfam.